This 236-nucleotide ribosomal RNA is filed under the name uncultured bacterium. RNAcentral describes it as "partial 16S ribosomal RNA". It matches the Rfam family "Bacterial small subunit ribosomal RNA", at positions 118 to 347 of the family's 1533-position model. The record is from RNAcentral.
UGAGCAAUCUGCCCUUCUCUUCGGAAUAAGCGUUGGAAACGACGUCUAAUGCCGAAUACGACCUCCUUUCGCAUGAUCGGAGGUGGAAAGCUCCGGCGGAGAAGGAUGAGCUCGCGGCCUAUCAGCUAGUUGGUGUGGGUAAUGGCCCACCAAGGCGACGACGGGUAGCCGGCCUGAGAGGGCGACCGGCCACACUGGGACUGAGAUACGGCCCAGACCUCCGUACGGGAGNAGCG